UAGGAGUGGAGUAAGUCUCCUUGUUAGCAUGC
This 32-nucleotide non-coding RNA is filed under the name Homo sapiens (human). Lineage: Eukaryota; Metazoa; Chordata; Mammalia; Primates; Hominidae. The record is from RNAcentral.